CCCUUAGAUGUCCUGGGCCGCACGCGCGUUACACUGAUGCAUUCAACGAGCUUAUAACCUUGGCCGAGAGGCCUGGGCAAUCUUGUUAACGUGCAUCGUGAUAGGGAUAGAUUAUUGAAAUUAUUAAUCUUGAACGAGGAAUUCCUAGUAAACGCAGAUCAUCAAUCUGCAUUGUUUACGUCCCUGCCCUUUGUACACACCGCCCGUCGCACCUACCGAUUGGAUGGUCCGGUGAAGCCUCGGGAUUGUGGUUCUUGCCGCUUUAUUGUGGCGUGACCGCGAGAACUUGUCUAAACCUUAUCAUCUAGAGGAAGGUGAAGUCGUAACA
RNAcentral lists this ribosomal RNA (328 nucleotides) under uncultured eukaryote. RNAcentral's name for it is "partial 18S ribosomal RNA". It matches the Rfam family "Eukaryotic small subunit ribosomal RNA", at positions 1470 to 1796 of the family's 1831-position model. The record is from RNAcentral.